This 204-nucleotide long non-coding RNA is filed under the name Elaeis guineensis (African oil palm). RNAcentral's name for it is "long non-coding RNA (EGUI_LNC052422)". Lineage: Eukaryota; Viridiplantae; Streptophyta; Magnoliopsida; Arecales; Arecaceae. The record is from RNAcentral.
GGUUGUACCUUUUUGAUGCAACCAAAUCACUGUAACCAGUCGAGAAUGAUCAACGUCAGGAAGACACCCGCAUCUCUACAAUGAUGGAAGACUUCUAGACUUAAUAUUUAAUAAAAAAAUUUAGAUUUAAGUCUCUUCUAAAUUAGCAGAUCUGACAUCCGACUGAUUAAAUUAGGUCAGCACAUCAAUAUGUCUAACCAUCCU